UACAGAGGUCCCAAGCGUUGUUCGGAUUUACUGGGCGUAAAGGGUGCGUAGGUGGUCGGGUAAGUCUCAUGUGAAGUCUCCAAGCUUAACUUGGAAAUGGCAUGGGAUACUAUUCGGCUAGAGGAUUGGAGGGGGGACUGGAAUUCCCGGUGUAGCAGUGAAAUGCGUAGAUAUCGGGAGGAACACCGGUGGCGAAGGCGGAUCUCUGGGCCUUACCUGACGCUCAGGCGCGAAAGCGUGGGGAGCAAACAGG
Molecule: ribosomal RNA, 253 nt
Filed under: uncultured bacterium
Lineage: Bacteria
Description: partial 16S ribosomal RNA
Rfam family: Bacterial small subunit ribosomal RNA
Source: RNAcentral